This 1560-nucleotide long non-coding RNA is filed under the name Gossypium barbadense (sea-island cotton). RNAcentral's name for it is "long non-coding RNA (GBAR_LNC018996)". Lineage: Eukaryota; Viridiplantae; Streptophyta; Magnoliopsida; Malvales; Malvaceae. The record is from RNAcentral.
CAAUCUCAUCAUUAUUUUUCUCAACUUGUCAAUUUUCUUUUCCAGUCAAAUUUUCCGACCAAAUCUUCAAUUUUUUUUUCAACAAAGGGGUUCAAGUUUCAAGAUUUGUUUUGUCGUCGAAGGAUCUGAUGAUCACUUCUUUGCAUCCGGUGUACCGGACUUGGAGGACGAUCAUGCCUUUACGGUAAGAGAUACAUUUUGAAAUAAAUUUGAAAAAAUAUCUUAUUAUAUUUGCUUCGGGUGAGUGAAGAAGAAGAUGAUAUGUUCAUUCCUUCCCCCACUAACUUAAUAAUAAUAAUAAUAUAAAAUUUUAUGUUUUCCUUUUCUUUUACUUAAUUUAAACCAUAUUUUAUAUUAAUCAAUUUAAUAAACCAUGCUACCGUUCACUAAUAAGUAUAAUGACAUGGUCUAAUUGCUGUUUUAGUCCUUUGGUUCAUUUCCUAAUUAAAAACAUGUAGUAAUUGAUUUUUACUAUUCUUAUAAUUUAGUCUCUAUACCUUAAUUAAUCAAAAAUUUGAUAAAAUUGUCUAUCCAGAAUUCAAUUCACUUACAAUAUAACUUCGUAAAUAUUUAAUAAAAAUAUUUACAAUCUCGGUUUAUGGAAACGGAAUCUCGAAACCGAAUUUUUUCGACAUCACUGGUUUUCGGAUUGUUACAUAUUUUGAAUUUAAAUUUAAAUUUAAUAUUGAUGUAUAUUCUAUAAAAAAAUUUAUGUAAAUGAUAUUCUGUUUUGAUAACAACGAUUUAACAGUAGAUGAAUUUAGAAAAAUUAUAAGUGGAAAAUAUUAAAUUAUAGAACAAUUAAAUUUCCAUUUUCUAUUCGUAUUUAAUUAUUUUUUAGAUUAUUAUAUUUAUAUUUGAAUCAUAUUUUAUCUUUAUGCAAUUAUUAGUUUAAUAUAUUUAUAUUUUAAACUUAAAUUUUAAAGUCUCUUAAAUAAAUAAUUAUUUAUAUUUUGAAUUCAACUUUAAAAAUGUCAUAAAAUUAAUUUCUUUACUAAAAUUUGUAUAUAAAGUAUUAAAUUAAUUUAUUAUAUUAAAAUGUAAGGAGAAUCACAUGUGUAGCACGUAACGCUAAAACUAGUUUAACAAAUAACACCCUUGAAAUAAAAUUGAAAGUGAUAAAUGAGAAAAGGUAAUUAAUUCAAGAUUCAGUCGUGGAAAGUAAAUUCAUGAGAUAGCAAUUGGUGAUUGUGUAUAGGAAAAUUCUCGAGACAUUAAUUAUAAUGUUGGACAAGACUUGAGUUUGGGCGUAAGAUAUAACAAUGGAGGAGCUCAAUGAGAAUAACGAGCAAACUUCUUGGCUGUUCUCGUGGCGGAAUCCUUGUGGAUAACCUUGGUGGGGUACUUCUUUAUCGCUGCAACCAAACAGUGGUCAUAGAGGCGGUCACGAGUUUCGUUGUCGAAGGAUCUGAUGAUCACUUCUUUGCGUCCGGUGUACCGGCCUUGGAGGACGAUCAUGGCCUUAUUGGCUUAUCAUUGUAAAAUUUUGACCAGCUACUGACAGAUAGAUAAAUUAAGUUCAAUUACUUAAUUGAUAAUCCUAUAAAAAAAAUACACAAA